UCCAGCAGUAGUCAGCCGUCCGGACAGAACCGUUCCUGUGAUGGUGUUACACUGCUGGGAGAGUAAUGUCUUGUCUUCAUCUGGUUGCCUCCACCACUGUUCUGGUGGCGUCUGGCACUGGUGCAAGACAGAGCUGUGCUUCCCUGAGAGUGUGCUAAGCAUUCACUUUGGCUGCUUAGUUCUAGUCUGGGAGCAGACAAA
RNAcentral lists this small nucleolar RNA (201 nucleotides) under Callithrix jacchus (white-tufted-ear marmoset). RNAcentral describes it as "Small nucleolar RNA SNORA74 (ENSCJAG00000028958.3)". It matches the Rfam family "Small nucleolar RNA SNORA74". From Rfam's summary of the family: U19 belongs to the H/ACA class of snoRNAs. snoRNAs bind a number of proteins (including dyskerin, Gar1p and Nop10p in the case of the H/ACA class) to form snoRNP complexes. This class are thought to guide the sites of modification of uridines to pseudouridines by forming direct base pairing interactions with substrate RNAs. Targets may include ribosomal and spliceosomal RNAs but the exact functions of many snoRNAs, including U19, are not confirmed. Lineage: Eukaryota; Metazoa; Chordata; Mammalia; Primates; Cebidae. The record is from Rfam by way of RNAcentral.